UCCUUAAAAGAGUGCUUCCUCCAGUUUG
RNAcentral lists this non-coding RNA (28 nucleotides) under Rattus norvegicus (Norway rat). Lineage: Eukaryota; Metazoa; Chordata; Mammalia; Rodentia; Muridae. The record is from RNAcentral.